UUUUUUUUCUCCUUCUAUUUGCUUCUCAAAUUUUCAUCUCCUUCUAUUUGCUUCUCAAAUUUUCUUCUCCUUCUAUUUUCUUCUCAAAUUUGUUCAAAAGGUAUUCUCAAUUUCAAUUCUCCAUUUCAUCUCACAAAUCUCAAAUUAGGGUUUUUCUCGUGACUUACUAGACUUUUCCCCUAUUCUCGCAAUUUAACCUCUGCGUCAAUGGGUUUCUGCAUCAUUUUCUGCGUAAAUUGGG
Molecule: long non-coding RNA, 241 nt
Filed under: Cicer arietinum (chickpea)
Lineage: Eukaryota; Viridiplantae; Streptophyta; Magnoliopsida; Fabales; Fabaceae
Description: long non-coding RNA (CARI_LNC000213)
Source: RNAcentral